GGUCUCGUAGCUCAGCUGGAUAGAGCAUCUGCCUUCUAAGCAGAGGGUCUCAGGUUCGAAUCCUGACGGGAUCACCA
Molecule: transfer RNA, 77 nt
Filed under: Saprospiraceae bacterium
Lineage: Bacteria; Pseudomonadati; Bacteroidota; Saprospiria; Saprospirales; Saprospiraceae
Also listed under: 1 other name
Description: tRNA-Arg
Rfam family: tRNA
About the family: Transfer RNA (tRNA) molecules are approximately 80 nucleotides in length. Their secondary structure includes four short double-helical elements and three loops (D, anti-codon, and T loops). Further hydrogen bonds mediate the characteristic L-shaped molecular structure. tRNAs have two regions of fundamental functional importance: the anti-codon, which is responsible for specific mRNA codon recognition, and the 3' end, to which the tRNAs corresponding amino acid is attached (by aminoacyl-tRNA synthetases). tRNAs cope with the degeneracy of the genetic code in two manners: having more than one tRNA (with a specific anti-codon) for a particular amino acid; and 'wobble' base-pairing, i.e. permitting non-standard base-pairing at the 3rd anti-codon position.
Source: RNAcentral